UACGUAGGGUGCGAGCGUUGUCCGGAAUUACUGGGCGUAAAGCGUGCGCAGGCGGUUCGUUGUGUCGGCGGUGAAAGCCCCGGGCUCAACCUGGGAAUGGCCGUUGAAACUGGCGAACUGGAGUGUGGCAGAGGGGGGUGGAAUUCCGCGUGUAGCAGUGAAAUGCGUAGAGAUGCGGAGGAACACCGAUGGCGAAGGCAGCCCCCUGGGCUGACACUGACGCUCAGGCACGAAAGCGUGGGGAGCAAACAGG
Molecule: ribosomal RNA, 253 nt
Filed under: uncultured bacterium
Lineage: Bacteria
Description: partial 16S ribosomal RNA
Rfam family: Bacterial small subunit ribosomal RNA
Source: RNAcentral